Molecule: ribosomal RNA, 694 nt
Filed under: uncultured Bacillus sp.
Lineage: Bacteria; Bacillati; Bacillota; Bacilli; Caryophanales; Bacillaceae
Description: bacterial SSU rRNA
Rfam family: Bacterial small subunit ribosomal RNA
Source: RNAcentral
AGAUGGGAGCUUGCUCCCUGAUGUUAGCGGCGGACGGGUGAGUAACACGUGGGUAACCUGCCUGUAAGACUGGGAUAACUCCGGGAAACCGGGGCUAAUACCGGAUGGUUGUCUGAACCGCAUGGUUCAGACAUAAAAGGUGGCUUCGGCUACCACUUACAGAUGGACCCGCGGCGCAUUAGCUAGUUGGUGAGGUAACGGCUCACCAAGGCGACGAUGCGUAGCCGACCUGAGAGGGUGAUCGGCCACACUGGGACUGAGACACGGCCCAGACUCCUACGGGAGGCAGCAGUAGGGAAUCUUCCGCAAUGGACGAAAGUCUGACGGAGCAACGCCGCGUGAGUGAUGAAGGUUUUCGGAUCGUAAAGCUCUGUUGUUAGGGAAGAACAAGUGCCGUUCAAAUAGGGCGGCACCUUGACGGUACCUAACCAGAAAGCCACGGCUAACUACGUGCCAGCAGCCGCGGUAAUACGUAGGUGGCAAGCGUUGUCCGGAAUUAUUGGGCGUAAAGGGCUCGCAGGCGGUUUCUUAAGUCUGAUGUGAAAGCCCCCGGCUCAACCGGGGAGGGUCAUUGGAAACUGGGGAACUUGAGUGCAGAAGAGGAGAGUGGAAUUCCACGUGUAGCGGUGAAAUGCGUAGAGAUGUGGAGGAACACCAGUGGCGAAGGCGACUCUCUGGUCUGUAACUGACGCUG